This 30-nucleotide non-coding RNA is filed under the name Cricetulus griseus (Chinese hamster). Lineage: Eukaryota; Metazoa; Chordata; Mammalia; Rodentia; Cricetidae. The record is from RNAcentral.
AUUGCGAGCUGGGCACGGAGCAGGCGCCAU